Molecule: ribosomal RNA, 522 nt
Filed under: uncultured Bacteroidota bacterium
Lineage: Bacteria; Pseudomonadati; Bacteroidota
Description: bacterial SSU rRNA
Rfam family: Bacterial small subunit ribosomal RNA
Source: RNAcentral
UAUUCUGGCUCAGGAUGAACGCUAGCUACAGGCUUAACACAUGCAAGUCGAGGGGCAGCGGGAUUGAAGCUUGCUUCAAUUGCCGGCGACCGGCGCACGGGUGAGUAACGCGUAUCCAACCUUCCGUACACUCAGGGAUAGCCUUUCGAAAGAAAGAUUAAUACCUGAUGGUAUCUUAAGCACACAUGUAAUUAAGAUUAAAGAUUUAUCGGUGUACGAUGGGGAUGCGUUCCAUUAGGUAGUAGGCGGGGUAACGGCCCACCUAGCCAACGAUGGAUAGGGGUUCUGAGAGGAAGGUCCCCACAUUGGAACUGAGACACGGUCCAAACUCCUACGGGAGGCAGCAGUGAGGAAUAUUGGUCAAUGGACGAGAGUCUGAACCAGCCAAGUAGCGUGAAGGAUGAAGGUCCUACGGAUUGUAAACUUCUUUUAUAAGGGAAUAAACCCUCCCACGUGUGGGAGCUUGUAUGUACCUUAUGAAUAAGCAUCGGCUAACUCCGUGCCAGCAGCCGCGGUAAUACA